UUUCCGUAGGUGAACCUGCGGAAGGAUCAUUACCGAAUUGUCAACACGAGUUGUUGCUGGUCCCCAGGCCGGGGUCACGUGCACACUCUGUUUAUACAUCCACCCACACCUGUGCACCCUCCGUAGCUCUAUGGCCUGGGUGGUUUGUCCCCCCUUGCUGUGGUUCUACGUAUUUACACACACACACUGCCAUAAAGUCUCAUGGAAUGUUUGCCGCGUUUAACGCAAUACAAUACAACUUUCAGCAACGGAUCUCUUGGCUCUC
RNAcentral lists this unclassified non-coding RNA (265 nucleotides) under plant metagenome. RNAcentral describes it as "partial contains small subunit ribosomal RNA, internal transcribed spacer 1, and 5.8S ribosomal RNA". The record is from RNAcentral.